GCCGAAAUAGCUCAGUUGGGAGAGCGUUAGACUGAAGAUCUAAAGGCUUCAGCUUUCCUGAAAGGUUCACAUCCUUCAGGUGCUGAAUCUUAAAGCA
Molecule: non-coding RNA, 97 nt
Organism: Merluccius polli (Benguela hake)
Lineage: Eukaryota; Metazoa; Chordata; Actinopteri; Gadiformes; Merlucciidae
Source: the annotation of a GenBank genome assembly